RNAcentral lists this non-coding RNA (522 nucleotides) under Intrasporangium oryzae NRRL B-24470. RNAcentral's name for it is "Bacterial small subunit ribosomal RNA". It matches the Rfam family "Bacterial small subunit ribosomal RNA", at positions 831 to 1353 of the family's 1533-position model. Lineage: Bacteria; Bacillati; Actinomycetota; Actinomycetes; Micrococcales; Intrasporangiaceae. The record is from Rfam by way of RNAcentral.
CUUGAGGCGUGGCUUCCGGAGCUAACGCGUUAAAUCGACCGCCUGGGGAGUACGGCCGCAAGGUUAAAACUCAAAUGAAUUGACGGGGGCCCGCACAAGCGGUGGAGCAUGUGGUUUAAUUCGAUGCAACGCGAAGAACCUUACCUACUCUUGACAUCCAGAGAACUUUCCAGAGAUGGAUUGGUGCCUUCGGGAACUCUGAGACAGGUGCUGCAUGGCUGUCGUCAGCUCGUGUUGUGAAAUGUUGGGUUAAGUCCCGCAACGAGCGCAACCCUUAUCCUUUGUUGCCAGCGGUUCGGCCGGGAACUCAAAGGAGACUGCCAGUGAUAAACUGGAGGAAGGUGGGGAUGACGUCAAGUCAUCAUGGCCCUUACGAGUAGGGCUACACACGUGCUACAAUGGCGUAUACAAAGAGAAGCGACCUCGCGAGAGCAAGCGGACCUCAUAAAGUACGUCGUAGUCCGGAUUGGAGUCUGCAACUCGACUCCAUGAAGUCGGAAUCGCUAGUAAUCGUAGAUCAGA